RNAcentral lists this ribosomal RNA (507 nucleotides) under uncultured bacterium. RNAcentral describes it as "partial 16S ribosomal RNA". The record is from RNAcentral.
ACGCGUUAGCUACGAUACUGCAUGGGUCAAUACACACAACAUCUAGUAUCCAUCGUUUACAGCUAGGACUACUGGGGUAUCUAAUCCCAUUUGCUCCCCUAGCUUUCGUCUCUCAGUGUCAGUAAUGGCCCAGUAGAGUGCCUUCGCCAUCGGUGGUCUUUCCAAUAUCUACGCAUUUCACCGCUCCACUGGAAAUUCCCUCUACCCCUACCAUACUCUAGUUUGAAAGUUUCCACGGCAUCUUUGAAGUUAAGCCUCAAUUUUUAACAGUGGACUUUUCGAACCACCUACAGACGCUUUACGCCCAGUGAUUCCGGAUAACACUUGCAUCCUCCGUCUUACCGCGGCUGCUGGCACGGAGUUAGCCGAUGCUUAUUCAUCAAGUACACGUCAGAACUUCCUCCUUGAUAAAAGAGGUUUACAACCCAAGGGCCGUCAUCCCUCACGCGGUAUUGCUCCGUCAGGCUUGCGCCCAUUGCGGAAAAUUCCCCACUGCUGCCUCCCGUA